Molecule: ribosomal RNA, 481 nt
Filed under: uncultured bacterium
Lineage: Bacteria
Description: partial 16S ribosomal RNA
Rfam family: Bacterial small subunit ribosomal RNA
Source: RNAcentral
GAUGAACGCUGGCGGCGUGCUUAACACAUGCAAGUCGAACGAAGCACUUUAUUUGAUUUCCUUCGGGACUGAUUAUUUUGUGACUGAGUGGCGGACGGGUGAGUAACGCGUGGGUAACCUGCCUUGUACAGGGGGAUAACAGUUGGAAACGGCUGCUAAUACCGCAUAAGCGCACAGCAUCGCAUGAUGCAGUGUGAAAAACUCCGGUGGGAUAAGAUGGACCCGCGUUGGAUUAGCGAGUUGGUGAGGUAACGGCCCACCAAGGCGACGAACCAUAGCCGACCGGGGAGGGGGACCGGCCACAUUGGGACUGAGACACGGCCCAAACUCCUACGGGAGGCAGCAGUGGGGAAUAUUGCACAAUGGGCGAAAGCCUGAUGCAGCGACGCCGCGGGAGCGAAGAAGUAUUUCGGUAUGUAAAGCUCUAUCAGCAGGGAAGAUAAUGACGGUACCUGACUAAGAAGCACCGGCUAAAUACGUG